GGGGAUGUAGCUCAGUGGUAGAGUGCUUCUCUAGCAUGCACGAGGCCUUGGGUUCAAUCCCCAUCCCUG
Molecule: non-coding RNA, 69 nt
Organism: Ictidomys tridecemlineatus (thirteen-lined ground squirrel)
Lineage: Eukaryota; Metazoa; Chordata; Mammalia; Rodentia; Sciuridae
Source: Rfam